This 32099-nucleotide long non-coding RNA is filed under the name Setaria viridis. RNAcentral's name for it is "long non-coding RNA (SVIR_LNC008464)". The record is from RNAcentral. Lineage: Eukaryota; Viridiplantae; Streptophyta; Magnoliopsida; Poales; Poaceae.
GGCCGCUCGUUUGGACAUCUAUAGCCAAGUGUGAAUUUUAUGGUGGGCAAGCAAAAGGCGAAACACGAUAUCGAUGGAUUGAUGCAAGCUGAUUUGAAACCCCCUCGUUAAUCUGAAAGAAAGAAGACAUGCACGCUUACCUUCAACCGGAUCGGUCCUUGUCCUCGCUUGCUGAGCUUGCGCAGAUGCAGCUAGAAGCAGCAGCAGCAGCAGCAACGUCGGGAGCGCAGCAGAGCCAUGGCGGCACGAACUGCUGGGUCCAGGCCUCCUCAUCUCCUUCCCCUCUCUCUGGCCUCGAGGUCGGGGUUGGCUACCCCUUCCGAGGCCGAGCGGGAUAUAUGGUGACCUGAUGGAGACUCUUAUGGCGACUAGCUUGUCUCAGGGCCCCGCCGCCGCGGCAGACACGUACAGCUCCCUCGACGCUGCGCCACCAUGCAAGGACGGCGCAAUUAGGGAAUUUUCUAUGGUCAAGUGGCGCCACUGCUCUGUCGAACGCGACGGGCCAACAACUACCUCCAGGCUCCCACAUGGAAGCAGAGCCGAAGGCGAUCGACGACGACGGCUGACCGUGUUGUUCUGUGCGAGGAGACUUACAGCUUGGUGACGUGGCAGACGGUCGCCGCUGAUGUUCCAUGCCGACGCCGCCGUUUAGCACUUUCAUUAAAUAUUUUACAUAUAUUCAAUAAUGUGGUGAAAUUGUGUUUUCUAUGAAGGCCUGUGAACUUGAUAUUACAAAUAUUAUAUAAUUCCAUCAUAUGCGUUACACUAAAGAACCAGAAGCACAGGAAUUAAUGGGUGAUAUUGCUCCACCUCAAGUGCAGAGUGGGAGUGAACUUACAUGUUCUAAAAUAUAAACAAUAUAAACUCUUGUUACGCUGCUGGAGAGGAGGCAUCGCUGGAGUCGCACUUCGCCUUGUUGGACACGCAUCACCCCUCUACUCUGUAUGGGUCUCUUUUGCGCAUCUCCUGCUGGCUCCAGCUCCAUUACUGUAGCACACUAUAGUUUAUCGUAGUGCGAGCCGGAUCUGGAGUUGUGGGGAGCAAUUUUUUCUAGAUUCACCGGCUCCUCCUCCAUAACUGUAGUGCAAUGUAGCUAAUCGUAGCGCAUGUCAGAUAUGGAUUUUAACUCUUCAUUGCAGUACAACACAACAGUGAUACAAGUAGCGUGACAGAGGAGACAAGAGCCGUGAGGGAGCGGUGCCAAAGGGGUCAUACGGGUGGGGCAUACGGGUGGGGCAUCAAGCUAAGUGCACGAGAUUGUGCUCUGAGAAAAUCUUGCUGCUUCUUUUUUUAAUCAUAGAUCGGGUUGGCAUCGUCCUGUCGUUCUGUCAUAAAUCAUAUAUAUAUAGAUCCGGAUAGACCAAACCCUCCAACAUCAUCAUUUGGUCCUGGGCUCAAAAAUCAAACCCAAACUUGACCCGAAAAAGAAAAUCGAUCUAAGACGGGCGAAGCAACAAUCGAUCACAGCACAUAACCUAACACAAAAUACGUGCAAAAGCUGAAUAUAUAUCCUGAGAACGUUUGUGACGUGCAUUUACAGAAAACUGUCCGUCAACUUGCAAAUCACCGGCCUUCUUCUCGGAGCUGUUAGAGGUUUAGGCAUUUUACGGCAUAUUUUAAUUCCGAAUAUUUUUAAGUAAAUUAUGGUCAUUGUGAAUGAUACAGAGCGUGUGCAAGUGCUUUGUUUAAAUCACGUUUGAACGUAAACAGAACCAAAAGAAAGAACCAGAUAAGGUUCAGUAUGUACCCAGGGGCGGGAUCAUUGCCGAAGGCAAUGGGUGCGCCGUUCCAGAACUGGAUGCAUCAGACAUUGUGUCUAAAAUGUCGGUUCGGGCUGUUCGAUGUAGUUGAUCAAAGUUGAUGCAAUGUCGAGUUGGUGCAGAGCAGUCCCUUGAACAGCCUCCAGGAUGUAGCAUGACGCGCAGAAGAUGCGCUUCCCCAAAACUUGAUCGCCUGCCUACUCAUGCAAGUGUCGCAGCAGGACAAAGUUUUGGAGGCCUGCACGUAGAGGCUCGCGAUGGGAAUGUCAAGAUAGCAGCGGGCAACAGCAAAAAAAAAAAGGGAGAGACGUGUGCGCGGCUCGACGAGGCGAGCAAGCGCGCGCGUGGCACCCUUUCUCUCUUCCUCAACUUCUCAAUUAGUGCACACAUAGUCCACCUAUUUAAGUUGGUUAAGAUACUCUUAACUAUCCAGUGGAAUUAACCAUUUAACCAUCUAGCAUUACAUGUGGAUCCUGAGAUUAAAUGAAUUAAAUGGGCCUAACCUGAAUAUUCCAACGGGAGCUAGCUAAUGAACGGCGAAGAGGUGUGCGACGAGGCGGCCCUUGGGGCCAAGCUCGACUGCCCGCUCAUAUUGCUGCUCAUGAAGCUGCUGGUGUUGCCUCCCUUGAUCUGCCAUUCGGUGAUGUAGCUGGGCUUGUUCACCACCUCGCCCACCUCCACGUCGUCCCCGGCCAGCAUCGACACAGCCCGAGACAUGGACGGCCGCUGGUGGGGCGAGCCCUGGGUGCAGAGCAGGGCCACGUGGAUGGCACGGAGCACCUCGUUGCUGUUGAAGUCAGCAAUACAUUUGCCAAACCUGAAAGCACAGAAAAUUAUCUAGAAAUGCUAAGAUGCCAGGCUAGCGUGAGACAGGUGUUUAGGGACGUUUCAUUUACCAAAUAUAAUCUCGUAGUAAUACCGUAUCCCUUAAUUUAUAGACGGGAUUAAAAUCAUUGGUGAGUUGUAGGGCAAUAAUAAGUAUCUUACUAUUACUAAUUGGAGGCUGAAGCCUCUAGGUGAAGCCACCUAGGAUUUCUAGGUGGAUACUCUGUAAAAAGAGAGAAAUCCUAGAAAAACUCAAAAAAAACAAAACAUCCGACCAUCAAUCGAUAGACUUAAAUCAUCAUAGCCAUUGGAUCUAUUAUGUUUUCUAAAAAAUUACCCACCUAUGCCAUUAUGAAAAUAGCCUAAAGUAACCCACUAAAUCUAUAUAUAAAUUACCCACCUAUGCCAUUAUAUAAAAUAAACUAAAUCAACCCCUAAUCUUCAUCAAAAUUACCCACUUCUGCCAUUGUAAACAAUAUUUAAAAUAACCCCCUAAUUUGCAACUGAAUUGCCCACCACUAUUACUUUAAAACACUUUUUAAAGUAAUUCCUUAAAUUUGCAUCUAUAUUACCCACGCAUGCUAUUAUUAAAAAUAACAUAAGGUAAUCCUUCAUUUGGAUCAAAUAACCUUAAUUAAAUAUAUAUAUAUAUAUAUAUAUAUAUAUAUAAUUCUAAAUCAUUUAUACCUUGCACUAUUGGUAUACGAUAUAAUAAUUAAGGUCUAUACGCAUGAUGUGUGUCACCAUUUAUAAAGAUCUAAAGUGAUGUGAAUAUAUAUUUCUAUGUUAAAAUUGUAUCUCAAACUUAGGGUUCAUUAAAAAAAUUCAAGCGCAUACCUGCGAUGCAAAGUGAAAAGUUAAAGAUUACAAAUAUGGAUGAAAAUAUUAUAGAGUAAUUACUAACUAAAAUAUAUCACAAUUGGAUGAAGAUAUUAAGUAGUAUAUAAGUAUUGUGUUCGAAUAUUUAACAAACGAGAGGUAGCUUAUGGUAAUAGUUUUGUAGCAAUGUAGUCUCAUUUUUUCCAUUGGAGGCUCCCAUUAGUUCCCACGAGACAAGCUAGAAAAAAGAGAGAAAUUCUCAUAAAAAUUAAAAAUAGCAAACACCAAUCCUGUAAACUCUAAUAAUCAUAGGCAUUGAUCUAUUAUAUUUUCUAAAAAAUUACCUAACACUAUCAUUGUGAAAAUAUUAAAAAAUGAGCUCUAAACCUAUAUCUAAAUUACCGAGCUCAGCUAUUAUAAAAAAAAUCUAAAGUAACCCCAUAAUUUUCAUCCAAUUUACUAAUACUUAUCAUUAUAAAUCAUUAUAAAGCAUAACUUAAAAUAUCAUUCUAAAAUUUUAUCUAUGUUACCCACGUCCGUUGUUAUUAAAAAUAACCUAAUAAAGUAAACAUGUGCAUCAUACGUCCAAAAGUAAAUUAAUAUAUGAUUCUAAAUGACCUAUUUAUAUCAUUGUUAAUAUAAAAAUACUAAGUUAAAGUAUAUACACAUGAUGAAUCCCACCAUUUAGACCAUUUAUACAUGUAUGUGAGGAAUCGAUGAAAAAUAUUGAUUUGUAGGCUAAACAUAAUGUAUGGAGGAUUGGAGGUGCGAUACAAAAUGGAAAAAGUAUGAAUAUGGAUGAAAAAGUGCAUAGAGUAAUUAUUAAAUUAAAAAUAAUCACAACUAGACAAAGAUAGGUACAUAUCUAUAUAAGUAUUAUGUUGAAGUAUUGAAAAAAUAAGAGAGUAGUAGGUAAACAAUUUUGAUUAUUAGUUAGGAGUUUAAUUUCUAAAUAAUUUUUAAAUACAAUAGCUUCUAAAAACAUUAGCCCGUGCGGGAGCACGGGUUGGUGGACUAGUAUCGGUGAAUGAGUACUUUUUUUUAGGGUCAACGGGGGAGUGCCCCACCUGAUUCAUUAUAGGACCUUUUGAAGGCCGAAGUCAUUACAUUGAGAAAAGAUGGAGCACCAGGCUUCAGCGAUCCGACGAUCCUCCAUACGGAAACGCUGGCUCCAUAGCCGCACUUCAUCACGACAGGACGCCCAGAACCUUGUAUGUGAUGGUGAAGCUCGUUGGAAGACCGUACCAUUGCGGUGCUUCCAAAGCAUCCAGGAGAUCAGAAGAAGAAAGCUAGUGUAGUGGCGCGCCGGGACUGUUGUCGGACGGAGAACAGUCCAAAGGUUUUGGAUAGAGGAGUUGGCUGUCUGCGCGCCAAGCGACGCCCAAACGUGUGACGCGAAGGAGCAGCGGAAGAUGAUGUGGUUGCAGUCCUCUACCUGGCCGCAGAGCUCGCAUGAUGGAUUAUCCAGAACGUUCUUCUUCACCAAGUUGUUGCGGAGCUGGAUGCGUUACUGGACCAGCAGCUAGGCAAAGAACUGGACACGGGGCGCCGCGCGGUUGCGCCAGACAAACUUGGCAAAGGCGCUGGAGGGUGAUCCAGCAAAAGCCAUGAAAUUGUUAUACACUGCACCAACUUGUAGGGCUAUGGCGUUCCCAUUCAGGGGGCAGAGACACUGGUCCUCCCCUUCUCGGAGUGAUACUCGAUCAAUCAGUUCGUUUAGCUUCACCAGCUCCUCGCUGGCCAGGCGCGAAAGCCGUGAGGCAAGGUGUGUGUUCAGCCCCUCGCCCAUGACCUGCUCGACUGCGACGUCCCCGCCGACGGCGUGGGAGUGCAGCAGGGGGAACAUCUCGCACAAUCGGCCUGCUGAUAGCCAUCGAUCGUGCCAGAAGCUAGUUGCUGCUCCAUGGAAGACCUCGGAACAGGUGAUGGCUUGGUAGAGUGGCAGCAAAUCCUCCAGAUCUCUCCAGGGCGCGCCCUCGAUGUUGCCGCGCAGAUCCACAAGGCCAACGCGGCUCCGGACCCAGCGCGCCCUAGACAAGCCUUCGGGGUGGUGAAGGCGGUGAAGGAGCUUGAGCAAGAGGUUUUUGUUUUUCAUGGUCUGAUCCCAAGCCCCCCUGCUCUUUUGGCUAGCACGCUUGCUCCCACGCAACAAGACAUUGAGCUCCACUAACUGUAUCUUCCCCGGACCACAGGAAACGUCAUCGUCGGCAAUUGAGAGCGUCAAUGUUCCCUGGGGGCAGAAGGAGCACUGACAUAGCGUAGGUAAGCUGGCUGUCCAUGACGCUAUUGAUCAGCACUGCAUGGCCCAUUGGAUUGAGUAGGGAGGCGUGCCAGCCGCUGAGAUGCCUGUCCGCUCUAGUGAUCAGAGGGCUGAACACGGACAGACGUAGCUUCUCGUGGGACAGUGGCAGCCCCAGGUAGGUUUGGGGGAAGCUGCCAAGUUGGCACCCAAGAAUACUCUGAAGCGCCGUGGUAGUCGAGCUGGAAGUGUUCAUUGGCACCAUGGUACUCUUGUUGAAAUUGAUGUGCAGCCCCGUGGCCUCGCAGAACAGAUCAAGCACCUGCUUCAGCGCCACCAGCCCGUCUUGAUCUGCCUUGAGGAGGAUGAGAGUGUCAUCGGCAUAUUGGAGCUCGGGGCACGGCUUCCCCGAGGCGGCAGGGUGUGAAAUCCUCUGGUCGAGCUUGAUCAUCUGCUGAAGGACGUCAGCGACCAGAAGGAACAGGUAGGGGGAUAGUGGAUCCCCCUGCCGUAGGCCUCUUCCACAGGCGAACCACGGGCCAGGAACACCAUUGACAAAGACAACAAGCUUCAAGGUUUGCAACAUGCUCGUGAUCCAGUUGCACCAGAGGGGCGGGAAGCCUCGCGCAUCCAUGAUGGCGUUGAGACUGAGCCAAUCCACGGAGUCGAAGGCUUUGGCGAAAUCGAGCUUCAGAACCAGGGUGGGUAGCUUGCGGCAGUGGCAGCACUGGACGAGCUCCAUCGCGUAGAUGAAGUUCUCAGAGAUCGAGUGCCCCUUGAUGAAUCCUGUCUGGUCUGGAUCGAUGAGGCGGGGGAUCUAGUGUUGCAGCCACGUCGUCAGCAUCUUAGAGAUGAUCUUCAAGGAGCAAUUUUGCAGGCAGAUUGGGCGGUAGUCCCCCGGCGUUGUGGCGGCGGCAUGUUUGGAGAUCAUGACAAUGUAUGAGCGAUUCAGAUGCUCAAGCUCCGCAGUACCUGCCUGGAACGCCCAGGCCAGCUCCAUGACCGUCGGCACCACCGUGGACCAUGCCGCCGCGUAGAAAGCUGGCCCGAAGCCAUCCGGUCCAAGAGAGCUAGACCGGUUCAUCGAGCACACCGCGAUGCGCGCUUCUAGCUCCAUGAACGGCGCCAGCAGAGGCGCCUCGUCCACCCUUUCUGAUUCGGCGUAGAGGGCCGCGACGCCGAUGGAGUCCGAAGCUGCCGUGUUCACGCGCAGGAGCCCUUGGUGGUGAGAGGUCAGCGCGGCUGUCUUGUCCUGGUGCGAGGACACCACGACGCCGUCCACCUCUAGGGCCCGGAUGUUGUUGCAGUGCAGGCGCUGAGUGGCCUGCGCAUGGAAGAAGCGGGUGUUCGCGUCGCCUUCCUGGAUGGCGCGGUGUUUCCCGCGUUGCUUCCAGUAUGCCGCGCGUUCGCGCAGGACCAGCACAAGGUGGUCCUGGCAGUCGCAGCAUAAGAGAUGUUCACCUGCAGAAAGACAGCGGCCUUCCUCAAGCACAUCAAGAAGAUAUAUCACAAACUUGCAAUUAGGGAGAAGGGUGGGAGGAACGCUCUUACGUCGCGCCCAAGCCUUGGACGUGCACCGAACUGCUUUGAGCGAGCCAACAAUGGCCGCAGCCACGCCGUGCGGCGAGCCUCUGAGCCAGGCCGGGAGCACCGCGGGCAGGAAGUCGCUGUGUUUGAGCCAGGCGUUCUCAAAGCGGAACAGGUUUGCUUUUGGGAUGGUGGUGGACAUGGGGAGCUGAAUUGGCGUGUGAUCAGAGGUUGGCUUGGGCAAAGAGUAGAGGGAGGAGUUGGGGAAGGAUAGGCUCAUAGGGACGUUGAAGAAGACACGGUCGAGGUGGGUGAGAGUGGGAGUGCUACGGUGAUUGGACCAAGUGAAGAGGUGGUCUAGAAGAGGGAGAUCGAUGAGACCAAGAUGAUCAAUGGUGAAAUUGAACGCUACACUGAGAGAGGCAUUGGCAGAGCCGUUGCUAUUUUCCUCGCCCCCACGGUGAGGUUGAAGUCGCCAGCAAGCGCCCAACUCCCUGGAACGUGACCGGCGAUCUCCUCCAGAUUCUCCAGGAAGGGCAGAGAGUCGCGGUGAUCAGCCGGAGCAUAGACGUUGGUGACGGCGAAGGUGUAGUCAGAGGCUGUGGACGAGAGGAACGUCGUGAGGGUGUGCUGCCUGAUGAUACAGGAGGUGAGGGUGAACGCAGUGGAGUCCCAGGCAGUGACCAUGCCGCCGCGGGUUUCAUUGGAGUCGACACAGCGAAACGCAUCGAGGUUGACGGGAAGGAAGGAACGAGCUCUCAGGCUGUCGAUGGCCCUGAGCUUCGUCUCCUGAAGGCACACAUUGUUAGAACGAGCAGAAGUUAGCGUGUCGUGAACAAUCGUGCACUUGUUCUUGUCCCCAAGCCCACGGACGUUCCAAGAGAGAGGAGAGAAGGAGACAGUGCUAGAGUUCAUUGGUCCAGGAACAACACCAAAUCGCCCCUGCGGAACACACCACAGGAGGGAGACAGAAGCGCGUGGUACAGGAGGGAUAUUAUCUUAAGAACGUGAGGACAUUGCUGACAGCAACCUCAAACUGAGAGGCGCCUCCCAGGAAAAGAAACAAAGCGAAAGGCAAGAACAAACUUAAUUACAAAUAUACAAUCGAGCUAAUCAGAUAGAACACCUCGAAAAUUAUCUUUUUUUAUCGCAGGAGCGCUGAAUAGGACUUACCUUCAGUUGGAUCUGUCCUCGCAGCUGGUGCUUGCUGAGCUUUGGCCGACGCAGCUAGGAGAAGCAACGCGGAGAGCACGUAGCCACGGAGGGAAGAACUCCGUGCUAACCUCAUCUCCCUCCCUCGGUCUGCUGUCGCUUAGCUUGGAGCCUUGGACCUUGGGACGCUAGCCUUCUUUAAUAUUGAGGGAGAUUUCACAACGAUCCAGUCUUUUAGAAAUGGACAUGUUUACUUCAGCUGGAACCUCUGCUGUCUAAGGAAAGGUGCACGAAACUUGAAGUUCUAUAGGAGAAACUCAUCAGCAUAUAUAAUAGUGAAAGAAAGUCAACCAAGGUGAUUGAGGGACAGAAGAUACUUGAAGCCAACAAGGGACAGAAGAGAAGUCGAUCAUAUUGCAAACAGAGAUAUAUGUCUCGUCCAGGGUCCCCAAAAAAGGCAACCACUGACAUUUGCAACAAAAUAACUUAUGUGGCGCAAUGUCAGAUUCAAAGUGACUAAUGAAGGGUUUAUGCAAUUUUACUUUUAAUCAUUCAUUGAUUCAAGACUUUCAUGUUCCAGAUUUCUCGGAAUGAAAUGUUUGUGAUGGAUAGCUUGUAGGAAUUCGAACCAAUUCAACAAAGUAAUCAUGGUGACGGGUGCCUAGACUAGAGGUACUCUCAAACCAGCAGCACCUCAUGCACUUCUUCCAAUGGAGAGCUGCCGAUUAUAUUAAAAAUAAGAAAACUAAUAGCGCCGACUCAACAUGGAACCAACGUGUUCUCUCGUACACCCCGGAAUCAGGAGAAGCAUAUAUCUGGUUCGCCCAAGGUUUCUCCGAUCCAGAGAAAAAGUAGAGAUGAGAUUGCGAUAGCAAAGGCGGCUGCUAUCAGAACGUACGUGCAGGGACGAACAUCUCGCGAGAAGCUUUUUCUAUCUCAGUAAAAGAAAAAUAAUUCGGGACGGACUGGACAUACCUUUCAGUUGGAUCUGUCCUUGUUGUUGGUGCUUGCUGAGCUUUGGCCGAUGCAGCUAGAAGCAGCAGCACGGAGAGCACGGAGCCACGGAGGGAACAACUCCAUUUUGACCUCAUUUCCCUCUUCCUAACUGCUCUCGCUUAGCUUGGCCGUGGCCCUUCCGAGGAAAGCAAUCUUGUUCCGUGUCCAAAAAUUUGCUGAUUUCAUCAUCAUAGAAGGAAAGCAAAGCAAAUAAAGCAGCAGUCAAAGGCACACGACUGACUGGGGAUACGCGGUCGUUUGGCAACAUUAGUACUGAAGACGACUGCAUGACUGACUGACAUUUUCAAGCUUUGGAUUCAUCCACUCGAACCAUUCAAGACUGUCAUGGUCUAGAUAAUUAAGGCGAUUUCCCAGGAUGGGAUGUUUGCUAUGGACAGCUUAUACGAAGUACUAGAAUUUGGCCUAAUCCUAUGAACCCAGACAAGUUCCUACGGAGAGAAUUUGAUUCCAGGUCCGCCAUUGGAUCAAAGUAGGCACGGAAUGGAAUAAUUGAUCAGCGAGCUUGGGUUUAAUAACUACCAUAGCUAGAAGUAGAAGGUGGUUUUCCUCGAACAGUUAUACUGGAUCAACCUUUUGUACUGAUAAGAUCCAACGGCUGAGAGGUUGCUUGCAAAGGUGUCCGACGCAAAUGCCUGGAUCGGACGUUAGAGCUUUGGCAGAGCCCUAACUGCUAUCUUUUCUGCCCGUUGAUAUAAUUGAUAAUUCCUAAUGCAUGCUUCAAUAUCAAGUCUCUUCUUAAGUGCAAUCGUAACGCAACUAGUAUGUUGCAUACCUAUGCAGAAGUCGUAGAAUGGGCUGACGGGCAAAUGCAUGCAUAUAUAGCACAUGAUGAUCGACUAUCUGUUGACCAGCAAAGCAAGUAAAGCACACGUGCCAACGCAGGCGUUUAAUUCAAAACACUGAGGACGACUAUCACACCUUAAAAUUUAAGUUCUCUAUAUAUGCGUACACUGAGUAUAUAUAUACAUAUAUAUGCCUUAUUGUUGACCCCUGAUCGAUGCUGUUUGAUGGUUGUCCGUGCGUGAACAUAAUGGAAUUCGAUUAUUCGAUCCCAGGUCCAUCACCUGAUCAAAGGAGUGUCUGUUCUAGCCAGUUGCACCUUACGAAUCUUACACACAUCCAAAUCUAAUGGAUCGUCUUCAAACUGCAUCCACACCAAAUAAUAUAAUCCGUUGCUUGACAGAAGCUUAUUUGAAUCUGAUGAUCAUUGACCAUCAUCACCGGCCUUCCUCGAUGAGGGAGCUCAGGUACGACGAUGCCGACAUGCCGACCACCUCCCUCUUGCUCGAGCUCGCCUGCCACUCGGUGACGUAGCUGGGCUUCGUGACUGCCUCUGGCACUUCGAUGUCUUCUGUGAGCAUGGACACCACCUUUGACAUGGAUGGCCGCUGCCGAGGUUAGCUCUGGAUGCAGAGGAGGCCGACGCGGAUGGCACGGAGAACCUCGUCGCUGACGAAUUCCAUGAGACUCGGGUCCACGACGUCGAGAGGACGGCCUUCCUCGCACAAUUGCCAGACCUGAAAGCGUAGGGCUCAUGCAUGUAGGAGAACUUCACUGUUGUAGGAAUGCAACAAGCUAUUUUUUUUCAUAUGAUUCCAAAUUCUAAGAUCCACAUAAUGCUGCCAUUUUAAAAUUUAACACGCUGUGUCAGCUGCUUAGAUGCUAACAAGGUCUUAUAAGUGACACCAUAUGCAUGACUAGCAAUUUCUACGAAAAAUGUAUUUGUCUCAAAUAAAUAGCAUUUUUAUGUUGAAUUUAGUAUAUGAACAACUUUUAAAUUUUUAUGUUGUUAAUCUAAAUAAUUCUUCAUGUAGUGCUGCGCAAAGCUAAAACUGCUGCACAUUUUAGAAGAGGGACACUGGAGCAUAGAUCUUUAGAUCAAUAACUUAUAUUCUGUGUCCGAGGGAGUAACAAAACUUUCCCUCUUCUAAACAAGUGCCUAUCAACAACUAGCAUUCUGUACAUAGCUUAUUUAUUUGACUGCAUCUCUUUUUAUAUAAUUCAAUGAUGUCAAAAUUAUGGUUAAGUUUUUGAAUAAAAAUUCUUAUGAACGCACAUGAGCUUUAAUUUUUAUGUUAUAUAAGUGCCUAUCACAUAUAUAUAUUCCCAGUUACCACAUGAAAAACUGCAAUUUGACCUGGGUCUAAAUUUUGUAGUGACUUUACCCAUUCUAAAAGAUAGGCCCUGUCUUCGUCAAGCCUAUCAUCAUAGUUUGGCCUUCCAGCUAUUGUUUCCAAUAUGACCACGCCAAAAGCAAAUACAUCAACUUUCUCCGUUACAUGACCUCUCAUGGCGUACUCAGGUGCUAGAUAACCACUUGAAAGAAGAGCAGAAAAAUAUUGUUAUUAGCUCACAGAUUAAUCAAACUAAAGUAUAAACUUUCUGCAAUUGUAUAAAGGUGCACUCCAGUGUGCAAGAUAACCUCUCAUUCCCUACUUACUAUAAAUGGGGCAAGAUGCAAAUGCGCUUACAAUGUACCGGCAACUUUUGUGCUGACAUGCGUCUUCUUGUCAUCAUAAAGUUUAGCGAGUCCAAAAUCUGAGAUCUUAGGGUUGAAAUUGGUGUCAAGUAAGAUAUUACUGGCCUUUAUAUCCCUAUGCACAACACGGAUGCUAGACUCUUCGUGCAAAUAAGCUAGACCUCUUGCAAUGCCUAAGCAUAUCCCAAAGCGUGUAAGCCAGUCUAGGUUCUUUCUCCCACUUCCUGCAAAUGAAUGUUUAAGUUAUACGAUGAACUCCUGGAGGGCCGGAGUUAUAUACAGUUGCAUCAAAUUGAAUGAACCUGUACCAAACAAUGCUUUAUCAAGACUUCCAUUCUCUAAGUACUCGUAAACCAGCAGUGGAUUUUCGCCCUCAAGGCAGCAACCAUACAACUUCACGAGAUUCCGAUGUUGCACUUGGGAAAUAGUUUCUAUUUCAGCUAUGAAUUGCUUCUUCCCUUGACGAGAUGUUUCAGAUAGCUGCUUUACUGCUACCAUGCUUCCAUCGGUCAGUUUACCCUGCGAAAAUGUGGCAUUUUUCAAGAAUGUAAGUUUCAGAAACCUCAUUAUCACGCAUAUAAGGGACAAAGUAAAGAGACUGCCAAGCUAACCAUGUGGGGCAACUAUAAAAGGAACUAGUAGAGAGCAACAAAAGGGAAAACCAAUGGGGAAUGUGUGUGUAGAUUGAUAUUACUAAAAGAAUAGGUGAAGCAUUGCCCAGAAGUAGAGGUUUAUUAGUCAAUUUGCAUACAGAAAAAGAGCUCUGAUGUGCACUACUUAUGUACGUGGAAACUUAAUUUCAGAGGCAAAUUAAAAUUCCAUAGCAAAUUUGCAUCCAUGUCACCAUGUGUAGUACAGAUGAACUAACCUUAUAAACUGCCCCGUAUCCUCCUUCACCAAGAAGGUUAGUGGAAUUAAAAUUUUCACUAGCGGUCCUUAGUUCACCAUAACUGUAACUAAAUACAUUUGGUCUUCCAACAAAACUGUACAGCUCUGCAAGAAUCACAAGAGAUAAGUUUAUGAGCACAACCUCUUUGUCCGGUUUAAGAAUACACUAUGAACCUGUCAUAUCAUGUACCUCGUUUGUCCAAUGACAAUUUUCUACUUUUCUGCCUCAACACAUAGAGUCCAGAGAGCACUAAUAGUCCUAAAACUGCUGCACCAACCCCAACCCCAACAGCUACACCUGUAUUGCUAGUACGCUUCGUCUGGGCAGCAUGGGCAGCAUUACGCACUGUAGGUUUGAAAUCUGUCCAAAAGUCCACUUGUUAGAACAAAUGCAAUCUUGGAUUUGGAUCCUAUGUUAAGUGUUUAUGAAUUUUCACUUUUUAAAAGUACUUGAGAAUUCAGCACCGGUUCAGAGUGGAUCUGUAAUUCUGUAUCACUAUUAUACAUGUAAGAGUGUUGGUUCAGUCAUCAGCAUUCUCCUAAUGGGAACUAAGUUGACCCCGCGAAAAUUAUCUAAACAGUAUAGAAACGUUGGUUUAUAGACAACGGGAGUACUUGGAGUUGCACUCAAAGCAGAGAUCGAAGGCCCAUAGUAGCCUUGACUAGGGAUGCAACAAGUGCCCUUGCCGGCCCAGAAAAGAUGAAUCUCAAGGAAGUUUCUGGUGACAGGAACAGUAUACUUCCUCGUGACAGCAGUGUAAGAUUUUCCGCCUGCUGCCUUUCUUAUGUCAAAGUUCUGCUCCUUACGCUCACCCUGUACCAAAAGCAAGAAAAAACAAUUAGAAAAUCUCAAUCAGCCCAUAAGCUAAAAACUCAAGUAAGUGUAAGUUAUCAGCAUGACUGGAACCUACCUGAACAUAGAUAUCGAAAACCCUUUUACCUAAACUCUUCCAAGUCUGCAUGUCUUCGAAGUCAAACUCUGCAAAUUGAAGUGUGACUGUAUAGUUUCCAUUCUCAAGUCCAAUGCCAUAGUAGCGUAAUGAUGAUGGAGACAUCCUUGCUGUCUGGAACAGUUCUGAAUCUAGAGUAUUCUGAAACUGGCGUGAGCUGUAGAUUAUGUAACUUCCAUUUUGUGAAUCCAUGAACCUCCCAACAUUGCUAACACCCCAUGUUGGUGCUCCUGUAACAUAAUAGGAAGCAGGUCCCAGAUCGGUGUAGUCAGGCUGAUAUAUGGAAUUAUCUGAGCCAUUAUUUGAACCUGAUAUAAAUCUACUGCUCCCACAGUCCACAGCAACGGAGGAAGCUGCAAGCAUGUUAAAUUAUUUAAUACUGAUGUUAUUUAGCGUAUCCUUAAAGUGCAAAAGUGGAAGCUCACAUUCUGAAGAGCCAAGAAAGCAGGGUGUGUCUCGCUGAAGGCACCCUAGCCCCCAAGGUAAGGCACUGAAGAAGUCAAACAUUGUCAAUUUGAAUCCAAAAUAUGAGCUGAGGCCUGAGAGAACAUAAAAAUUGUGCUUGAAGACUUUAAUGACCUAUUUGAAUACAAACUGACCUGUUAUUAUUAUUGAAUUCGUCGAAUACAAAAUUGUUCGCCACCAAAUUCCUAUGUAGAAUGAAACAUGCAAAAAAAGUUAGAAGGCACUAUUGCGGAGAAUCAAGAGAAACCAAAGCAGGGACAAAAUUGAUUCAGUUUUUUAAGAUAAGUGAUAAGGUAAAGUACACAUCUGCUUGUUCAAAGAUGUUGAAUCAUAGAUGACGUCAAAUGCAAAAAAAAAGGGAAAAAGAAAAAAGAAAUAUGAUAUAGGUGCAGCAAAAGCAGCUUUUUAGAUGUAGUCGAUAUUAAAAAAUGCUAGUUUAAUACAUGUGUAUGAUAUUGGAUUAUCUUUAAAAAAAUAGUAAUAGGGCUGAAUUUUUGGUCAGUCAAUCAAGCUUGCAAAACUCAGCACUUACAAUUUCAAAUUCGGACUAACCCAGGAGGGAAAGUUUCCUGAUAGCUGGUUGUAGGAAAAGUCUCUACACAAGAAAGCGUGUAAAUGUUAUAGAUAAACGCCUUCCUGGUUUUACUUCACAAAUGAAAGUGGACAAACAUACAAGUUUUUAAGAGAAGUUCCUAUAGAACUUGGAAGGCUUCCUGAAAGACUAUUAUUCCCGAGAAACCUGGGCAGACCAAAUUUGCGCAUUAGCAAGAUUGAUGAUCAUUGUCAUCAGAACCUAGAAAUAAGUAUCAGAAGGCAAGAUAAACCAUACAAGAAGUUGAGUAAAUUCAGAUUCGGCAGAGCUUGUGGUACUUGGCCAGUGAUAUUGUUAAAACUCAAAUCCCUGUAACAGUAGAACAAAUGAGACUAGGAGAGAAAGGGGUCAUCAAACAAUGCAUAAUCCGCAGCAGUUCAUUAAAGCAUCUAGCAAAACAUGCAGUUGACUGGAGUUUAGGAAGAAACAAAAUGUCUUACAGUAGGGUUAAUGUUGCAAACUGUGAAAAGUUUACUGAUGCCAGGUUAUCAGAUAUCCUGCAGUUCCUCAAAACUCUGCAAUGAAACAUGUCAAGAGUUUUCGGAUUUAACAAUUGGUUACACUACAGAAAAUAUUAAGAUGUAGUUUGAGUCAUCAAAUGAAUAGCAAGUUAUGCAUACAAGGUGUUCAAAGAUGUCAUGUUACUGAUGAAUGCCAGUGAAGAACUUCCAUUUACUAUGUCACCUAUUCGUCUGCACCACAGAAAUAGAUAGUUCAUUCUUCCCAUGUGCAAACUUGAAAUUUAAGGAUGAUAGUACCUACUCUUUCCAUAAGUAGUCACUUACAAGCUUGUCAGUUCGACGAGAUUAGAAAGAGUGGUCGGAAGGGGACCUUGAAACGAAUUGCCUUGAAACCGCCUACAAAUUGAAAUUAUUGUUACUAUUUUUCAAGCAUCAUUUAUUUACCAAUGUGUUUACCUACUACCUAGUAAAGAAACAAGAAAGAUGGGACUUCUUAGGUAAAACAAGAAAUUUAUAAUGAAAAGUAUUAGAAAAAAGGUUCAAAGAUUACUAAUACUAGCAUCCAAAACGUAGCAUCGUAUUAUAAUGAAUAGUGAAAACAAAAAGAUUUAAUAUUUACUAAUAUGAUAAUAACAGCUCACACCUGACCUAAAUAAAUUAGUUAAGAGGCCACUAAAUGGAAAUCGGUAGAGUAAAAGACACAUACACUUUUCUUUCCUUUUUUUACUUGAACACACAGGAGAACUAUGUGCAUUGCAUUAAGAAGACGAAAGUGUUGAAAAUUUAUAGCAGAUUUUCGAUCAUCACAUUCGCGUCCUUGAAUAUGUGGAUACUACCAGACUACUUGACUCUAUGCUCUAGUUGCUACUAAAGCCACUAAGUCCUUAGCACUGACAAGACACCAUAGGUGAGCUUCUUUCUCAGGCUCUCAGCAACCUGUAAUAGGCGCUGGAGUGAAAGACCUAGACGCUAAACAGAAUGAACUCAUUUACAUAUGGCAACGAGUGAAGUAGGUAUAAAAUGAAUGUCCUACUUCAGUACCAACUUAAGUUCUGAUAAAAAUAAAGAUUGACUUGUGGAGAGCUAUAGCUUGUUGUACCUAUACUAUUUGGGGUGAAAAAAGGGACCAAACAAUUAUGAAAAUGAAACAACAUAUGUUGCUAUUUUCAAUUAGGAAAUGAUUGCAAAUAAUGAAGAUUAAUUAAGAAAAAACUUACAGUUCAGUUAGAUUAGCCCAGUUCCCAAUAUAAUCUGGUAUUUGCCCAGUAAAAUCAUUAUCUGAUGCCCACCUGAACACAAAGAACAAUAACAAAUAAGAUUGAGUGGCAUGGAACAGUACAGUCAACAAAACAUCUCUUAUAUGCAUACAAUGUUUUCAUUCUUGUAAGACUAGAAAGCGAUGAUGGUAAGGGACCACUUAAGCCAGCGCUAUCAAUAUACCUGCAAUUAAGAGAUGCAAAUAUAAGCACAGAAAUAAGAAGCCGACUAAUUCAAGCAAACAAUUCUACGAAAGAAAUAUAUAGUGCCCAAAACAAGUUAACACGCACAGCUGCUCAAGUUUAACCAAAUUCCCUAGUUCCAACCGAAGGGAACCAUUUAAGUUGUUUGAGCUAAAGGACCUGAAACCCACCAAAAAAAAUAUAGGUUAAUCACAAAAAAUGAGAAAUAUCUAUUCCUAGAAGCAUAAUUACUGGCAGAAAGCUACAUUUCUAGACAGUGGUUAAUCAGUUAAGGAAUGAAGAUGUUAAGUAGAAAUCUCUAACCUUUCCUAGGGAAAUACGGUGAUACAAGAUUAGUAAGGUUCCACAUUACAAAAAUUUAUUUCUUACAGCCAUACGAGAUUGGUAAGGUUCCCGAGCUCCUUUGGAACAGAUCCGGAUAAUGAAUUGAUGCCCAGAUCCCUGUGUAUUGGACAGAAUGAGAUGAUGUUCUGAUGUUAAGCAAAAACAUGUAAUGUAAUAACGGUUUAAGAUUUAAAUCUCACAUGUACUGCAUAGCAGUCAAUUUCCCGAGGAACGAUGGUAAAGGCCCUGUUAAGUAAUUUUGUCCUAAGUUCCUGAAACAACAUCAGAAAAGAUAUUAACAAAGAUUAAAGUUGGCUCAUCAUGUUUGAAUUUUGGUGUAAUGUUGGAAUACGGUGUUUCCAGAAUAUUACAAUUAUGCUGAACCUCUAGAAUAUCUUCAUAAAGAAAUAGGCAAUAGGCAUCAGCUAUUUACAAAGUCCCCCAAAAACCACAAUCCACAAGUAAAAGUCCUAUUGGACCCUUCAGGUACAAUGCAAGAAAGUUGAGAGUUCAUACAGAUUAGUCAAACGCGUGAGGUUCUGUAGUUCUGCCGGUAUCGCACCAACCGCAUUCAGCGCAUGUAUUUUCCUGCAAGCGAGCAAAGUCAAGUACAUGGACCGUCAGCUUACACUAUCUCAAUUUAACCAUCAUCAUCGCUGUUCGUCAGAUAUAAACACCAGCAGGAGGCGUAUGGAGCACCGCUGAAUCCUCUAGCUAGCACUUUUCAGAUACAGAGGUAACGACGUACUAGCACAGCGAGGCGGACGCAUCGCAUACCCAAAGGCUCGGUACAAACAGCGAAACCUCCGGCAGGCCAUCCGUCGAACACCUGCCGUGCGUAGCGGCAAGACGUGAGCUCUGAGUUGGCGACUUACAGCUUUGUGACGUGACAGACGGUGUUGUUCUGGCCGGAGCACUCGCACUUGAUGGCCGGGUUGAAGUUCGGGUCUGUGUCGAUGUUGGUGCCGUCCGUGGCGGCGCCGGUGCAGGGAUCGCCACUGAUGUUCCAUGCCGACGACGCCGUCUGGCCGAGCUUGGCGAACACCGCAUUCACCGCCGCCGCUGCAAAACCGAAAACGGGUUCACACUUCACACACAUCCCAAAGACCCAAACCAACGGCAACAACGACUACCCGCUCAUCGAUCGUCCGAUGGCCCGGUCCCGCGGCGAUCGGACGGCCACGGAUCAGGACCCACGCUGACAUGGCGGAGCCGACCAAGCCAAGUCUGAAUUUUAUGGUGGGCAAGCAAAAGGCGAAACACGAUAUCGAUGGAUUGAUCAUUGAUGCAAGCUGAUUUGAAACCCCCUCGCUAAUCUGAAAGAAAGAACUGGAGACAUGCACGCUCACCUUCAACCGGAUCGGUCCUUGUCCUCGCUUGCUGAGCUUGCGCAGAUGCAGCUAGAAGAAGCAGCAGCAGCAGCAACGUCGGGAGCGCAGCAGAGCCAUGGCGGCACGAACAGCUGGGUCCAGGCCUCCUCAUCUCCUUUCCCUCUCUCUGGCCUCGAGCUCGGGAUUGGCUACCCCUUCCGAGGGCGAGCGAGAUAUAUGGUGACCUGAUGGAGACUCUUAUGGCGACUAGCUUGUCUCAGGGCCCCGCCGCCGCGGCAGACACGUACAGCUCCCUCGACGCUGCGCCACCAUGCAAGGACGGCGCAACUAGGGAAUUUUCUAUGGUCAAGUGGCGCCACUGCUCUGUCGAAUGCGACGGGCCAACAAACUACCUCCAGGCUCCCACAUGGAAGCAGAGCCGAAGGCGAUCGACGACGACGGCUGACCGUGUUGUUCUGUGCGAGGAGACUUACAGGUGGGUGACGAGGCAGACAGUGUUGUUCUGGUAGGUGCAGUCGCACUUGAUGCCCGGGUUGAAGUUGGGGUUGUCAUCUAGAACGGUGCCGUCCGUAGCGGCGCCUGUGCAGGGGUCGCCGCUGAUGUUCCAUGCCGACGCCGCCGUCUGGCCGAGCUUGGCGAACACCGCGUUCACCGCCGCCGCUGCAACGAUAUCGAGUUGAAACCGUGAUCAGAUUCACAUGUGAUGGCGAAAAGGUAAGUCUAUUUACACCACCUAGCUUGGCCGUCUUUUAAUUUCUUCCAGGAGGAGGAACGUAUAAUUUUUUCAAGCGAAUGAGGAGGAAACAUCCUCACGUGAAAAGCAGUUUAUACUUUCAUAGGAGUACAUGAGAUGGAACCUACAAUCCCCUAGGAAAGCUGAUCGAUCAGGAACGAACAGCUCAUGGAAAGCUCUUUUUUUAGAGAAAGGAAUAAUAUCCGGCCUUAACAUUCACAAGUGAAUAACAUUCAUGGAAAGCUCUUAUGUUUCAGGAAUAGGAAACGAGGUGGGUAUACCUUCAGUUGGAUCUGUCCUUGUUCUUGGUGCCGCUCGUCGAGCUCCGGCAGAUGCAACUAGAAGAAGCUGCAGCACGGAGAGCACGAAACCUUGGAGACAAGAACUCGAUUUCAACCUCAUCUCCCUGACUCCCUCCUGCAUCUGCUCCCGCUAGCUUGGGCGCCGUCGCACUGCUAACGAUCUCCUAGCCUCAUAAGGAGUCUGUUUGUUUUUCCACGCGCAAUAAAUUUGCAACUGCCAUGAAAACAGUUGCACAUGAGUGGCUACAUACUUUUCAAAGCCUUCUCACACUUCUUCAGAACUAAAUAAAGCUCGUGCCGACAGAUAUUAGCCCAGAUCAUUCAUGACUGUCAUGUUCUAGAUUUACCCCGGAGAAUAAUGAAAUGUUUGCAAUGGACCAAUUCAAUGGAGUAACAAGGUCACACGUGCAUUGGACAUGGACAUAUACAUCAUGUCGAGUCUGAUAGUGUUUGGUUCGUUACCUUAGCACGUAAAUGUAAAGAGUGUAUUUGGCGGCGAAACGGGUGAUUAACCUCUUUGUUUGGUUGCAUUCUGGUAACGUAUUCAGAUUACGGUGUGGGUGUUGUAUUUGAUUACGAUGGAGGAGUAGGGGUAACAAGCUUGUAUAGAUAUUAUUUAGGUAAGGGAUUCGAUUAUAGCGUCAGUUGAUUACAAACCACCACAACCAACAUAUGUAAUGCAAUUCGUUACCUUCAUAUUACGUUACAUGUGAGCCAACCAAACACCACCUUUAUUUAUUUCAAGUUGCCUGCCUCGUUGUGAUGUGUGAACCAAUGAUGAGUUUACUCGCAGCACAUUUUGCUCACUAUUUUUUACAGUUUAAUUACCACUUCCCCUGUAGCUUAUUCACAACCAUGCUAUCAUAAACCUAAGAAAAUUAUGGGAGAUAUUUUUAUUUACAGUUUAGCACUUUCAUUAAAUAUUUUACAUAUAUUCAAUAAUGUGGCCAAAUCGUGUUUUCUACGAAGGCUUGUGAACUUGAUAUUACAAAUAUUAUAUAAUUCCCAGCAUACGCAUUACACUAAAGAUUUUACCAGAAGCGUGAUAUUGCUCCACCUCGAGUGCAGAGUGGGAGUGAACUUACACGUUCUAAAAUAUAAACAAUAUACUCUUGUUACACCGCUGGAGAGGAGGCAUCGCUGGAGUCGCACUCUGCCCUGUUGAGCACGCAUCAUCCCUCCACUCUGUACGGAUCUCUUUGGCGCAGCUCCUGCCGGCUCCGGCUCCAUAACUGUAGCGCACUAUAGCUCAUUGUAGCGCGUGCCGGAUUUGGAGCCGAGGGAGCAAUUGUUUCUAGCUUCACCGCUCCUUCUUCGUAACUGUAGUGCAAUGUAGCUCAUCGUAGUGCGUACCGAAUUUGAAAACGGGGGAGCAAAUUUUUCUAGAUUCACUGGCUCCUCCUCUUCUCCUUUUUAGCUUCAAUAUGGGUUUUGACUCUUUGCUACAUAACAGCACAACAGCGAUACAAGUAACGUGAUAGAGGAGACCAGAGCCGUGAGGGAGCGGUGCCAAAAGGGUCAUACGGGUGUCUUCCUCUAUUUUCUUUGCAACAAUCGAUCACAGCACAUAACCUAACACAAAAUAUGUGCAAAAGCUGAAUAUCCUGAGAACGUUUGUGACGUGCAUUUACAGAAAACUGUCCGUCAACUUGCAAAUCACCGUCCUUCUUCUCGAUGACGGAGCUAGCUAUGAACGGCGAAGAGGUGUGCGACGAAGCGGCCCUUGGGGCCAAGCUCGACUGCCCGCUCAUAUUGCUGCUCAUGAAGCUGCUGGUGUUGCCUCCCUUGAUCUGCCAUUCGGUGAUGUAGCUGGGCUUGUUCACCACCUCGCCCACCUCCACGUCGUCCCCGGCCAGCAUCGACACAGCCCGAGACAUGGACGGCCGCUGGUGGGGCGAGCCCUGGGUGCAGAGCAGGGCCACGUGGAUGGCACGGAGCACCUCGUUGCUGUUGAAGGCCAUGUUUAGUUACCCCAAAUUCCCAACUUUGGCACUAUGCAUAAAGAAGAUUCCCCAUCACAUCAAACUUGCGGUACAUGCAUGGAAUAUUAAAUGUAGACGAAAUCAAAAAUUAAUUGCACAGUUUUGUUGUACUUUGCGAGACGAAUCUUUUGAGCCUAAUUAGUCAAUGUUUGAACAAUAAUUCACAAAUACAAACGAAAUGCUACAGUUGCGCAUUUAUGGCAAAAUGCCAAUUUUGUCACUCCCAAAUUGGGAACUAAACAAGGCCGAAGUCAGCAAUACAGUUGCCAAACCUGAAAGCACAGAAAAUUGUCUAGAAAUGCUAAGAUGCCAGGCUAGCGUGACAUGUGUGUAGGGACGUUUCAUUUAACAAAUUAUAACCUCGUAGUAAUACCGUAGGGACGUUUCAUUUUACAAAUUAUAAUCUCGUAGUAAUACCGUAUCCCUCGGGAUUAAAAUUAUUGGUGAGUUGCAUGACAAUAACAAGUAUAUCGGUGAAUGAGUACUCUUUGUAAUUCUAAAUUUCAACUCUUGAGUUGGUUGCUCCAGUAAACAACCAUGUCUUUCUCUCACCUCCCCUUCUCUCACUCUAUAUUGUAAAAUAUCCUACGCAGCAUUAAGAUGGCUGACUUAGGUAUUUCUUUAAAAUAAGUAUAUUGGUGUCGUUUAACAGGUAGUCUUGUGCAUUGCUUGGUAAUCUUUGAGACAACCUAAUAGAUAACUGUAAAGCAUGGCUUGUCUUUUACUUAUGUCAUAAGUAUAGAAAAAGAAAUAUUGUGAGUUGCAUGGAAAUAACAAACUAGUAUAAUGAUGAGAGCGUGGUUCUAUAAUCCUAAAUUUUUACCUUAUGAGUUGGUUCUUUCGCGAACAGUCACUUCCUUCUUUCCCCUCCACAUCAUCAAAAAUUAUAUAUGGCGAGACGAGUGGCGUGGCGUGUAACAAUGUAGGCAUGGUUCCAUGCAUGUUGGACGAAGCAACGGUGUGUGUGGUAUUAGCAUGAUGAAGCACAUAGAAUUCCUGUUCUGUCGAGAAGGCAAAGCAGAGCGCUAUAUGGUGUUCGAGCUAAUCGCGAACAAACUGGACAUACCUUCAGUAGGAUCUGUCCUUGUCCUCUGUGCUUGCUGAGCUCCGGCAUGCAGAUACAAAGAGACGAAGCAGUAGCACCAAGAGCACGAAGCCAUGGAGACAAGAGCUCGGUUUCAACCUCAUCUCUCUCCUCUCUGCUCUAGCUUGGUUUGGUGGGAGAUAUAUUACACGAUGACCCAGCAUUUAGGAAUGGACAUUGUCUCAGCUGGGAAGGUUACAAGAAGCAACAGUUCUUUUUUUUUUUGAACAAACGGCACGGAUUGUGCCAUUUCUAUUAGAAGAGAUUUACAGGUAAAGCAACAGUUCUACAAAGUACACUAAAGUCAAGAAGAUGACGGAUGGUGACCCUGUUAGAAGAGUCAGAGCGGUUGCAAUCGUUGACGCCUUACAGGUUUUUUGACCUAUUCCUGACGCUUCAAUAUGGAAUAUCUUUUUUUUUCCUUAGAUGCACGAUAGAUCUCUGCAACUGUCUUGAAGACGACUUGCUCAUGGUUGGCAUUAUACAUUUUUCAAAGAUUUAGAGCAGCUAAGCACGGGCCAUUAUACAAUAGUCGAGUAGUUCUAAAUUUUGCCUGCCUACUUAGCUCUAGUGUGAAGUGCGAGAACAGUUUCAUGCACGCAUUGAAGUCGCACCUAAAUUUUCCUCAAAAAAGAAGAAGAAGAAAAGUUGAACAGAAAAGAUCCACGUGAAGCAACCAUCAAGCACAGCACAUAACCUAACACGAUAUUAUGUAGCAUUUACACACAAAAAAUGUACUAAUAAUUUUGCUACAUCUAACAUUCUAACGUGCCGUAAAUCUUGAAAACCAUAUAUGCACAUCCAAAUAGACAAGACCCUCCAACAUCAUCACCAUUUGAUUAUGCAUACAAAAAUUGGACUGCAGACGAUUCAAAAUCGAACAAAAAAUUUGCCUAAAAAGAAAAUCGGGCCGAAAAAGAUCUACACGGAAGCAACAAUCGGACACAGCACACCACCUAACACAAUAUAUGUGCAAAAGCUGACAAUCCCGAGACUGUUUGUAACGUGAAUUUACAAGGAACAAUCCGUCGAUCGCUUGACCGAACUUGCUAGUCAUCACCGGCCUUCUUCGAUGACAGAGGUCAGGUAUGGAGACGAUGUGUCUGACGAGGCUGCCCUCCGUGCCAAGCUCGACUGCCCGCUGACAUUGCUGCUCAUGAAGCUGCUUGUGUUGCCGCCCUUGAUCUGCCACUCAGUGAUGUAGCUGGGCUUGUUCACCACCUCACCCACCUCCACGUCUCCUGCCAGCAUCGACACAGCCCGGGACAUGGCCGGCCGCUGGUGGGGCGAGCCCUGGGUGCAGAGCAGGGCCACGUGGAUCGCACGGAGCACCUCGUCACUGUUGAAAUCAGCAAGCUUGGGGUCUAACAUGUCCAGUGGGUGGUUUUCCUCGUACAGUUGCCAGACCUGAAAUCAUAGAGAGAAGAUAAGCUGCCAGGUUGGAGUAGCUUGUCUCAGGCAAAUUCACUAAUUCGGAUAUAUAAUAUGUCUGCCAUGUUAGUCAAAAGAAGGGAAUUAAAAUGUGAUCAACCUCUUGUACUGCAAUAACAUCCGUCAUGCUGGCAUGCUGAAAUAGCACACUACUAUAUUCAGGUAGGAUAUAAACCUAAGUAUAGCACAAUUAGCAUUUUAUUUAUAGUUUAGCAAUUUUUCUGAAAUUUAGCCCACUACUGUAUUCAAGUAGUGUAUAAACCUAAGCAUAGUACUAGCAUUUUGUUUACAGGUCAGCAACUUCACGCAAUUUUUUCCUAACAGAAUGAUGUGGCAAACAGUGAUGUAAUGAAGGCUUGUGAACUCCAUUAUAAAUUCCUAGCAUAAACUUUACAGACGAUUUUACCAAUAGUACGGAGACUAGAGUGCAACAAUGCCUUGCCUCAAGUUUAGAGUUCAGAGUGAACUUACCCAUUCUAAAAUAUAAACCUUAUCUUCAUCAAGUGUAUUGUCAAAGUUUGGCCUUCCAGCUAAAGUCUCCAAAACAACCACGCCAAAUGCAAACACAUCAACUUUCUCCGUCAUAUGACCUCUCAUGGCAUACUCAGGUGCAAGAUAACCACUUCACAGAAUAUUUACAAGAAGUUUUAUAUUAGCUCACAUGUGAAAAAUAUUAACAUAAAGGGGGAAAGAUGGAAAUGUACUUACAAUGUACCAGCAACUUUUGUGCUGACAUGUGUCUUCUUGUCAUCAUAAAGUUUGGCGAGCCCAAAAUCGGAGAUCUUAGGGUUAAGAUUGGUGUCAAGUAAGACAUUACUAGCCUUUAUGUCCCGAUGCACGACACGGAUGGCAGACUCUUCAUGGAGGUAAGCAAGACCUCUUGCAAUGCCCAAGCAUAUCUCAAAGCGUGUUUGCCAGUCCAAGUUCAGUCUCCCACUACCUGCAAAUAAGUGUUUAUUUUUUAAUGUCCAUAUAACAAAUGUGACCCCCACCCCCACCCCGCACACACGCACACGCAAAUACACACAUUCAUAGUUGCACUAAUUGAAUGAACUCGUACCAAACAGUGCUUUAUCAAGGCUUCCAUUCUCCAGGUACUCAUAAACCAACAGCGGUUUAUUGCCCUCAAGGCAGCAACCAUACAACUUAACGAGAUUCCUGUGUUGCACUCGAGAAAUAGUUUCUAUUUCAGUUGCAAAUUCCUUUUUUCCCUGAUUAGAUGUUUCAGAUAGCUGUUUCACAGCCACCACCCUUCCAUCGCUUAAUUUACCCUGCAAGAAGAUGCCAUUUUAUCAACCAUGUGCAGAAACUAGAAAAUAAACAGGAAAACAAUAGAAAAAAGGGAAUGUAGUGGGAAAUGACCCCACUGGUGUGUAUAUAUUAAUAUUAUAUUAGUGAAAAUAAAUUAAAGGAGUUCACACCACCCAAAAUAUUGUUGAACUAACAAAGCUAGCUGAUUUUCCAUAACAAAACACACAAAUGGGACAUCCUUUAGCUUUGCGCAACUUAGAAAAGCUACUUUUAGAAGGAAAUUUGAUGGCAAAUUCAUAUCCUUGUGUACUUCUGAUGGACUAACCUUAUAAACUGAUCCGUAUCCCCCUUCGCCAAGAAGGUUAUUUGAACUGAAAUUUUCAGUAGCAGUCCUUAGUUCACCAUAACUGAGUACGUUAGGUCUUCCAACAAUACUGUACAGCUCUACAAACAUAGCCAAAAGACAACUUUAGAAAUAUGCCCCUUAUCUUGGUUAAGAUUUAAGAAUACACUGCGAUACUUGAUUAUGGCAUAUCAUGUACCUUGUUGCUCCAAUGCUAGUUUCCUCCUUUUCUGCCUCCACAUACAAAGUCCAGCAAGUGCUACUAGUACCAAAACUGCUGCACCAAUCACAACUCCAACAACUAUACCGGUUUUGUUACUACUAUUCUUAUGUGCAGCGCUACGCACUGUAGGUUUGAAAUCUGUCAGAAAGUGCACUAGUUAGAAAAAUGUGAUCUAACGGCUGAACCAGUACAUUUUACCUUACCCUUUUUAGGAGUUUUUCAAUAUUUACUAGUUUUUGUUUGAAGAGAGCGAAUUAUGUAUCCCGGGGUUCUAGCGCCCCCACUAACAAAAACAACAUGUUGUAAUGUUUCAAAAAUCUAAAAAAAUCAUGUAUUUAGCACACAUUAAAUUAAAUAAACCUGCAGAAAUUCAAUGUCAAAUUCAUCCUACAUGUCAGGGAAAAAUACGACUUGUGUUUUUUGAAUCUUGUUAUCAGAGAUGAAUUUAAAAUUGGAUUAUCAUAGUUUCACUAAUGGGGAUCAGAAUCAGAACCCCUGGUAACAAAUGAAUUUCCUAUAUCAGAAAGUGUGCAUGAGAACAUUCAGCAGAAAUCAGAAUGGAUAUGUACCACUAGACAUAAGUAUAUGUGUAUGCAUUCCUUCUAUCAUAAGCAUUUCUCAAAGUAGAAAUUAUAUAUGCAUCUUUUUACCCCAAGAAAAUUGUUUAAAAAGUAUUAAAACAAUGAUUUGUAGCUAAGGGGAGUACUUGGAGUUGCACUCAAAGCUGAAAUUGCAGGCCCAUAGUAGCCUUGACUAGGGAUGCAACAAGUGCCCUUGCCAGCCCAGAAAAGAUGAAUCUCAAGGAAGUUUCUGGUGACAGGAACAGUAUACUGCUUCUUGACAGCAGUGUAAGAUUUCCCGCCUGCUUCCUUUCUUAUGUCAAAGUUCUGCUCCUUACGCUCACCCUGUACCAAAAGCAAGAAAAAACAAUUAGAAAAUCUCAAUCAGCCCAUAAGCUAAAAACUCAAGUAAGUGUAAGUUAUCAGCAUGACUGGAACCUACCUGAACAUAGAUAUCAAAAACCCUUUUACCUAAACUCUUCCAGGUCUGCAUGUCUUCGAAGUCAAACUCUGCAAAUUGAAGUGUGACUGUAUAGUUUCCAUUCUCAAGUCCAAUGCCAUAGUAGCGUAAUGAUGAUGGAGACAUCCUUGCUGUCUGGAACAGUUCUGAAUCUAGAGUAUUCUGAAACUGGCGUGUGCUGUAGAUUAUGUAACUAUUAUUUGUUGCAUCCAUAAACCUCCCAACAUUGCUAACACCCCACGUUGGUGCUCCUGUAACAUAAUAGGAAGCAGGUCCCAGAUCGGCGCUGUCAGGCUGAUACAUGGAAUUAUCUGAGCCUGACAUAGAUCUCUGGCUCCCACAGUCCACAGCAAAGGAGGAAGCUGCAAGCAUGUUAAAUUAUUUAAUACUGAUGUUAUUUAGCGUAUCCUUAAAGUGCAAAAGUGGAAGCUCACAUUGUGGAGAGCCAAGAAAGCAGGGUGUGUCUCGCUGAAGGCACCCUAGCCCCGAAGGUAAGGCACUGAAGAUGUCAAACAUUGUCAAUUUGAAUCCAAAAUAUGAGCUGAGGCCUGAGAGAACAUAAAAAUUGUGCUUGAAGACUUUAAUGACCAAUUUGAAUACAAACUGACCUGUUAUUGGAGUUGUUGAUUACGAAAUUGUUCGCCACCAAAUUCCUAUGUAGAAUGAAACAUGCAAAAAAAGAUUAGAAGGCACUAUUGCGGAGAAUCAAGAGAAACCAAAGCAGGGACAAAAUUGAUUCAGUUUUUUAAGAUAAGCAGUAAGGUAAAGUACACAUCUGCUUGUUCAAAGAUUUUGAAUCAUAGAUGACGUCAAAUGCAAAAAGGAAAGAAAAAAAAGAAAAAAUAAAUAUGAUCUAGGUGCAGCAAAAGCAGCUUUUUAGAUGUAGUCGAUAUUAAAAAAAUGCUAGUUUAAUACAAGUGUAUGAUAUUGGAUUAUAGUAAUAGGGCUGAAUUUUUGGUCAGUUAAUCAGCUUGCAAAACUCAGCACUUACAAUUUCAAAUUCGGACUAACCCAGGAGGGAAAGUUUCCUGAUAGCUGGUUGUAGGAAAAGUCUCUACACAAAAGAAAGUGUGUAAAUGUUAUAGAUAAACGCCUUCCUGGUUUUACUUCACAAAUGAAAGUGGACAAACAUACAAGUUUUUAAGAGAAGUUCCUAUAGAACUUGGAAGGCUUCCUGAAAGACUAUUAUUCCCGAGAAACCUGGGCAGAUCAAAUUUGCGCAUUAGCAAGAUUGAUGAUCAUUGUCAUCAGAACCUAGAAAUAAGUAUCAGAAGGCAAGAUAAACCAUACAAGAAGCUGAGUGAAUUCAGAUUCAGCAGAGCUUGCGGUACUAGGCCAGUGAUAUUGUUAAAACUCAAAUCCCUGUAACAGUAGAACAAAUGAGACUAGGAGAGAAAGGGGUCAUCAAACAAUGCAUAAUCCACAGCAGUCCAUUAAAGCAUCUAGCAAAACAUGCAGUUGACUGGAGUUUAGGAAGAAACAAAAUGUCUUACAGUAGGGUUAAUGUUGCAAACUGUGAAAAGUUUACUGAUGCCAGGUUAUCAGAUAUCCUGCAGUUCCUCAAAACUCUGCAAUGAAACAUGUCAAGAGUUUUCGGAUUUAACAAUUGGUUACACUACAGAAAAUAUUAAGAUGUAGUUUGAGUCAUCAAAUGAAUGGCAAGUUAUGCAUACAAGGUGUUCAAAGAUGUCAUGUUACUGAUGAAUGCCAGUGAAGAACUUCCAUUUACUAUGUCACCUAUUCGUCUGCACCACAGAAAUAGAUAGUUCAUUCUUCCCAUCUGCAAACUUGAAAUUUAAGGAUGAUAGUACCUACUCUUUCCAUAAGUAGUCACUUACAAGUUUGUCAGUUCGACGAGAUUAGAAAGAGUGGUCGGAAGGGGACCUUGAAACGAAUUGCCUUGAAACCGCCUACAAAUUGAAAUUCUUGUUACUAUUUUUCAAGCAUCAUUUAUUUACCAAUGUGUUUACCUACUACCUAGUAAAGAAACAAGAAAGAUGGGACUUCUUAGGUAAAACAAGAAAUUUAUAAUGAAAAGCAUUAGAAAAAAGGUUCAAAGAUUACUAAUACUAGCAUCCAAAACGUAGCAUCGUAUUAUAAUGAAUAGUGAAACAAAAAGAUUUAAUAUUUACUAAUAUGAUAAUAACAGCUCACGCCUGACCUAAAUAAAUUAGUUAAGAGGCCACUAAAUGGAAAUCAGUAGAGUAAAAGACACAUACACUUUUCUUUCCUUUUUUUACUUGAACACACAGGAGAACUAUGUGCAUUGCAUUAAGAAGACGAAACUGUUGAAAAUUUAUAGCAGAUUUUCGAUCAUCACAUUCGUGCCCUUGAAUAUGUGGAUACUAUCAGACUUCUUGACUCUAUGCUCUAGUUGCUACUAAAGCCACUAAGUCCUUAGCACUGACAAGACACCAUAUGUGAGCUUCUUUCUCAGGCUCUCAGCAACCUGUAAUAGGCACUGGAGUGAAAGACCUAGACACUAAACCGAUGAACUCAUUUACAUAUGGCAACAAGUGAAGUAGGUAUAAAAUGAAUGUCCUACUUCAGUGCCAACUUAAGUUCUGAUAAAAAUAAAGAUUGACUUGUGGAGUGCUAUAGCUUGUUGUACCUGUACUAUUUGGCGUGAAAAAAAGGACCAAACAAUUAUGAAAAGGAAACAACAUAUGUUGCUAUUUUCAAUUAGGAAAUGAUUGCAAAUAAUGAAGAUUAAUUAAGAAAAAACUUACAGAUCUGUUAAAUUAGCCCAGUUCCCAAUAUAAUCUGGUAUUUGCCCAGUAAAAUCAUUAUCUGAUGCCCACCUGAACACAAAGAACAAUAACAAAUAAGAUUGAGUGGCAUGGAACAGUACAGUCAACAAAACAUCUCUUAUAUGCAUACAAUGUUUUCAUUCUUGUAAGACUAGAAAGCGAUGAUGGUAAGGGACCACUUAAGCCAGCGCUAUCAAUAUACCUGCAAUUAAGAGAUGCAAAUAUAAGCACAGAAAUAAGGAGCCGACUAAUUCAAGCAAACAAUUCUACGAAAGAAAUAUAUAGUGCCCAAAACAAGUUAACACGCACAGCUGCUCAAGUUUAACCAAAUUCCCUAGUUCCAACGGAAGGGAACCAUUUAAGUUGUUUGAGCUAAAGGACCUGAAACCCACCAAAAAAAAUAUAGGUUAAUCACAAAAAAUGAGAAAUAUCUAUUCCUAGAAGCAUAAUUUCUGGCAGAAAGCUACAUUUCUAGACAGUGGUUAAUCAGUUCAAGGAAUGAAGAUGUUAAGUAGAAAUCUCUAACCUUUCCUAGUGAAAUACAGUGAUACAAGAUUAGUAAGGUUCCACAUUACAAAAAUUUAUUUCUUACAGCGAUACGAGAUUGGUAAGGUUCCCGAGCUCCUUCGGAACAGAUCCGGAUAAUGAAUUGAUGCCCAGACUCCUGUGUAUUGAACAGAAUGAGAUGAUGUUUUGAUGUUAAGCAAAAACAUGUAAUGUAAUAACGGUUUAAGAUUUAAAUCUCACAUGUACUGCAUAGCAGUCAAUUUCCCGAGGAACGAUGGUAAAGGCCCUGUUAAGUAAUUUUGUGCUAAGUUCCUGAAACAACAUCAGAAAAGAUAUUAACAAAGAUUAAAGUUGGCUCAUCAUGUUUGAAUUUGGGUGUAAUGUUGGAAUAUCUUCAUAAAGAAAUAGGCAAUAGGCAUCAGCUAUUUACAAAGUCCCCCAAAAACCACAAUCCACAAGUAAAAGUCCUAUUGGACCCUUCAGGUACAAUGCAAGAAAGUUGAGAGUUCAUACAGAUUAGUCAAACGCGUGAGGUUCUGUAGUUCUGCUGGUAUCGCACCAACCGCAUUCAGCGCAUAUAUUUUCCUGCAAGUGAGCAAAGUCAAGUAAAAGGACCGUCAGCUCACACUAUCUCAAUUUAACCAUCAUCAUCGUUGUUCGUCAGAUAUAAACACCAGCAGGCGUAUGGAGCACCGCUGAAUCCUCUUGCUAGCACUUUUCAGAUACAGAGGUAACGACGUACUAGCACAGCGAGGCGGACGCAUCGCAUACCCAAAGGCUCGGUACAAACAGCGAAACCUCCGGCAGGCCAUCCGUCGAACACCUGCCGUGCGGAGCGGCAAGACGUGAGCUCUGAGUUGGCGACUUACAGCUUUGUGACGUGGCAGACGGUGUUGUUCUGGCCGGAGCACUCGCACUUGAUGGCCGGGUUGAAGUUCAUGUCUGAGUCGAUGUUGGUGCCGUCCGUGGCGGCGCCGGUGCAGGGAUCGCCACUGAUGUUCCAUGCCGACGACGCCGUCUGGCCGAGCUUGGCGAACACCGCAUUCACCGCCGCCGCUGCAAAACCGAAAACGGGUUCACACUUCACACACAUCCCAAAGACCCAAACCAACGGCAAAAACGACUACCCGCUAAUCGACCGUCCGAUGGCCCGGUCCCGUGGCGAUCGGACGGCCAGGGAUCAGGACCCACGCUGACAUGGCGGAGCCGACCAAGCCAAGUCUGAAUUUUAUGGUGGGCAAGCAAAAGGCGAAACACGAUAUCGAUAAGCUUGGCGCGGUUGACCUUCCAACCGAGACGUUUGGAACGAGCUUGUUUAUUGGAAAUUUGGAACAGAGGUCAGAGGGGGUAGGUGAUCUCUGGAAUCAGGCAGGAGUAGCUAGAAGAACAGAUCAUGUUUGCAAACUUCAAAGAAAAAUGGACAUUCCAUGAAAGAAAAAAAAUUCAGAAGCUUUCUUGAGAGUCAGAGCAUGAGAGGGCACACAGAGCAAAAGAGAUGAGCAGAUGAAGGAGGUGACGGAUGGGUUAAUCGGACAGCUCGAUCGGAAAGCCGGUUAAUUGCAUGGUGGCUCCAGAGCAGGAGAAGCCAUCACAGAGGAGCAAAAACAGAGAUGAAUAAUGAAGUGGUAGUUUAUCAUUCCGAAAGCAGAUGAAGGCAGGGAGACGAUCGAUGGAUUUGAUGCAAGCUGAUUUGAAACCCCCUCGCUAAUCUGAAAGAAAGAACUGGAGACAUGCACGCUCACCUUCAACCGGAUCGGUCCUUGUCCUCGCUUGCUGAGCUUGCGCAGAUGCAGCUAGAAGAAGCAGCAGCAGCAGCAGCAGCAACGUCGGGAGCGCAGCAGAGCCAUGGCGGCACGAACAGCUGGGUCCAGGCCUCCUCAUCUCCUUUCCCUCUCUCUGGCCUCGAGCUCGAGAUUGGCUGCCCCUUCCGAGGCCGAGCGGGAUAUAUGGUAACCUGAUGGAGACUCGGAUGGCGACUUGUCUAAGGGCCCCGCCGCCGCGGCGGACACAUGCACCUCCCUCGACGCUGCGCCACCAUGCAAGGAUGGCGCAACUAGGGAAUUUUCUAUGGUCAAGUGGCGCCACUGCUCUGUCCAAGACUCCAAGCACAGUGGACGCGACGGGCCAACAACUACCUCCAGGCUCCCACAUGGAAGCAGAGCCGAAGGCGAUCGACGACGACGG